RNAcentral lists this ribosomal RNA (98 nucleotides) under Cutibacterium avidum. RNAcentral describes it as "partial 23S ribosomal RNA". It matches the Rfam family "Bacterial large subunit ribosomal RNA", at positions 2827 to 2925 of the family's 2925-position model. Lineage: Bacteria; Bacillati; Actinomycetota; Actinomycetes; Propionibacteriales; Propionibacteriaceae. RNAcentral also lists the same sequence under 1 other name. The record is from RNAcentral.
AGUAAGAUCCCAUGUAGACGACAUGGUUGAUAGGCCAGGUGUGGAAGAGCCGUGAGGUUUGGAGCUGACUGGUACUAAUAGAUCGAGGGCUUUACUUA